Molecule: ribosomal RNA, 466 nt
Filed under: uncultured bacterium
Lineage: Bacteria
Description: partial 16S ribosomal RNA
Rfam family: Bacterial small subunit ribosomal RNA
Source: RNAcentral
AGUGAACGCUGGCGGCGUGCUUAACACAUGCAAGUCGAACGAGUAAGUGCUGUAGCAAUACAGACUACUGCUAGUGGCAGACGGGUGAGUAAUACAUGGGAAUCUACCCUAAAGUCUGGAAUAACUGUUGGAAACGACAGCUAAUACCGGAUAUUGCCGAGAGGUGAAAGAUUUAUUGCUUUAGGAUGAGCCCAUGCAAGAUUAGCUAGUUGGUAGGGUAAUGGCCUACCAAGGCGAAGAUCUUUAGCUGGUUUGAGAGGAUGACCAGCCACACUGGAACUGAGACACGGUCCAGACUCCUACGGGAGGCAGCAGUGGGGAAUAUUGGACAAUGGGCGAAAGCUUGAUCCAGCGACGCCGCGUGAGUGAUGAAGGCCUUCGGGUUGUAAAGCUCUUUUAGUAGGGAAGAUUAUGACGGUACCUACAGAAAAAGCUCCGGCUAACUUCGUGCCAGCCGCCGCUGUAA